GCGUCAAUGCGUGAUAGGGUACUUUUUGUAGAACGGUCCGGCGAGCGAUUGUAUGCAGCAAGGUUAAGGACUUAAGGUCUGGAGCCGAAGCGAAAGCGAGUUUGAAAAGGGCGUUAAGUUGCAUAUAAUGGGCCCGAAACCGGGUGACCUACCCAUGGUCAGGUUGAAGUGGAAGUAAAAUUCCAUGGAGGACCGAACCGACCUCCGUUGAAAAGGCGGCGGAUGAACUGUGGGUAGCGGAGAAAUUCCAAUCGAACCCGGAGAUAGCUGGUUCUCCCCGAAAUAGUUUUAGGACUAGCCUCAAGUUAGAUACCUGGAGGUAAAGCACUGAAUAGCCUAGCGGCCGAGAGGUUAGCGAAGCUUAUCAAACUCAGAAUGCCAGAGUAUUGAUGCUUGGGAGUCAGACAGUGUCAGAUAAAUGUCAUUGUCAAAAGGGAAACAGCCCAGAUCUACAGCUAAGGUCCCAAAGUCAGGUUAAGUGGAAAACGAUGUGAAGAUACGCAGACAACCAGGAUGUUGGCUCAGAAGCAGCCACUCAUUCAAAGAGUGCGUAAUAGCUCACUGGUCGAGCGUCUUUGCGCGGAGAAUUUAACGGGGCUAAACCUGACACCGAAGCUUAGGCAAUGUACUUUGUACAUUGGGUAGGGGAGCGUUGUAUACGCGGAGAAACAGUAGCGUAAGCGGCUGUGGAGUGUAUAGAAGUGAGAAUGCCGGAAUGAGUAGCGCGAAUGCAGUGAGAAUCUGCAUGGCCGAAAGCCUCAGGUUUUUGGAGGAAGGUUCGUCCGCUCCAAGUUAGUCGGGAGCUAAGGUGAGGCCGGAAGGCGUAGCCGAUGCACAGACGGUAGAGAUUCCGUCACCACCAAAAGAGUUAAGCACAGGGACACAUUUGAAGUCUCAGAGCCGGGUGUUGGUUCCGGUAGAGAUCGAGGGAAGUUAGUACCGAAGUCUGAGAUGGAAGAUGGCGAGAAAAGCUGUGUGUAUUUCUGAGGUGCCCGUACCGCAAACCGACACAGGUAGGUAGGAAGAAGAUUCUAAGGCCAACGGGAGAAGGGUUGUUAAGGAACUCGGCAAAUUGACCCCGUAACUUCGGGAGAAGGGGUGCUCCAGAGAUGGAGCCGCAGAGAAUCGGCCCAAGCAACUGUUUACCAAAAACACAGGUUUGUGCUAAAUCGAAAGAUGACGUAUACGAGCUGACGCCUGCCCGGUGCUGGAAGGUUAAGAGGAGAUGUGCAAGCAUUGAAUCGAAGCCCCAGUGAACGGCGGCCGUAACUAUAACGGUCCUAAGGUAGCGAAAUUCCUUGUCAGGUAAGUUCUGACCCGCAUGAAAGGCGUAAUGAUUUGGGCACUGUCUCAACAGCCCGCCCGGCGAAAUUGUAGUACCGGUGAAGAUGCCGGUUACCCGCGACAAGACGGAAAGACCCCAUGGAGCUUUACUGUAGCCUAAUAUUGGGUUUCGAUGUUGCAUGCACAGGAUAGAUGGGACACUGGGAAACAAUCGCUUUGGCGGUUGCGGAGUGGCCGUUGGGAUACCAUCCUUGCGAUAUUGGAAUUCUAACCUGCGGCUCUGAAUCGAGUCGGGGGACAUUGUUAGGUGGGCAGUUUGACUGGGGCGGUCGCCUCCUAAAAAGUAACGGAGGCGUUCAAAGGUUCGCUCAGCUUGAACGGAAAUCAAGCAAAAGAGUGCAAACGCAGAAGCGAGCCUAACUGCGAGACUGACGGGUCGAGCAGUAACGAAAGUUGGAGUUAGUGAUCCGGUGGUAUGUGAGUGGAAAUGCCAUCGCUCAACGGAUAAAAGUUACCCUGGGGAUAACAGGCUGAUCUCCCCCAAGAGUCCACAUCGACGGGGAGGUUUGGCACCUCGAUGUCGGCUCAUCGCAUCCUGGGGCUGUAUUCGGUCCCAAGGGUUUGGCUGUUCGCCAAUUAAAGCGGUACGCGAGCUGGGUUCAGAACGUCGUGAGACAGUUCGGUCCCUAUCUGUCGUGGGCGCAGGAUAUUUGAUGGGAGCUGUCCCUAGUACGAGAGGACCGGGACGGACGUACCUCUGGCGCACCAGUUGUUCCGCCAGGAGCAUAGCUGGGCAACUACGUACGGAUCGGAUAAACGCUGAAAGCAUCUAAGCGUGAAGCCGACCCAAAGAUAAGAUAUCCCACUGAUUUGAUCAGGUAAGACCCCUUGAAGACUACAAGGUCGAUAGGCACGAUGUGUAAGUGGAGCGAUCCAUUCAGCAAGCGUGUACUAAUAGGUCGAGGGCUUGACCAC
RNAcentral lists this ribosomal RNA (2259 nucleotides) under human gut metagenome. Its description in RNAcentral is "bacterial LSU rRNA". It matches the Rfam family "Bacterial large subunit ribosomal RNA", at positions 581 to 2925 of the family's 2925-position model. The record is from RNAcentral.